This 467-nucleotide ribosomal RNA is filed under the name uncultured bacterium. RNAcentral describes it as "partial 16S ribosomal RNA". It matches the Rfam family "Bacterial small subunit ribosomal RNA", at positions 29 to 507 of the family's 1533-position model. The record is from RNAcentral.
ACGAACGCUGGCGGCGUGCUUAACACUUGCAAGUCGCACGGAAAGGCCCUGCUUUUGUGGGGUGCUCGAGUGGCGAACGGGUGAGUAACACGUGAGUAACCUGCCCUUGACUUUGGGAUAACUUCAGGAAACUGGGGCUAAUACCGGAUAGGAGCUCCUGCUGCAUGGUGGGGGUUGGAAAGUUUCGGCGGUUGGGGAUGGACUCGCGGCUUAUCAGCUUGUUGGUGGGGUAGUGGCUUACCAAGGCUUUGACGGGUAGCCGGCCUGAGAGGGUGACCGGCCACAUUGGGACUGAGAUACGGCCCAGACUCCUAAGGGAGGCAGCAGUGGGGAAUAUUGCACAAUGGGCGGAAGCCUGAUGCAGCAACGACGCGUGCGGGAUGACGGCCUUCGGGUUGUAAACCGCUUUCGCCUGUGACGAAGCGUGAGUGACGGUAAUGGGUAAAGAAGCACCGGCUAACUACGUG